CCUGUGGCAUCACAGUUAGGCCUAUGAUGUCACAGGAGAUGGAAGCCAGCAGGACAGGAUCUAGGAGAUCCUGGGCACAGGAAGAGGCUGUUUGGUGUGGGAACUUGAAGACUGGAAGGACAUUUCCUAGCCGAGCAGGGGACUUUCAGGAUUGAGAGCUAGAAGUUCCUAUAGACAUUUCUCUUUUGUUUUCCAAGCAAAUGUAAUAGUAACUUUUCUGAGUAUUGGGGGCUGUGACCCCAGGAAGGGGUGGAGUUGCCAGAUGGAAACCAAAGAUGUGUGGAUCCCCUUGGAGGUGUGGGUACCAGUGAGCCCCGCUCCCCGUGAUCCCCAGCAAGGCUUGCUGGGAGCCUGGGAGGUCUCUAGCUUUUGGGAGUGGAAUUUUGGUGAACCCAGACUGUAAGGGGGUCAUGGGAAUAGCUCCUCCAUUAAUUGGAAGGAUAUGAGGGAGUCCCUAGGGGUGAGGGAUGGGGAAGGCUAAGAGGGUUGUCUGGGUAUUGGUAAUGGGGCCUCAGAAGAAAGGCUGUGAGAAGCAGACAUGAGGGUGUGGGUGUGGUAACAAAGGACGCUGGCAUUGUCAAGAGAUGGCAGAGUCUGGGGUUUGGCCCUAGAGACCUCUGGGAUACUUGCUGUGUGGCUCUGGCAGCUUCAAACAUCGCACCUUCCUGUCAUCUCUCACACCACUGGGGCCUCAGUCACAGGCAGCUGCUGUCCUCCUGCCCACCUCCUUCCUUCCUCAGCCAAGAGGACCGCCGCAGAGCCAGAUGCAGAGACACACAGGUCACCUUUGGGCUCACAGUACUUGAGACCUGAGAUAGGGAAACUGAGGCGAGGAGUGAAAUUUUGUGGGAGAGCCCUUCCUGGAAGCCAGGCUUGUAACUGAGAACCUUCACAGCUUCUCUGGACACUCAUCUUCCCAGCAGAGCACUGGGCCCCAGGGCUGCACACCAGCUCCACUGAUGAUGAAAAGCUCACAGCCGAGUAUCCACUAAGCAAGGACAAGAUGGAAAGCCAGCCUGAAACAGCUGGCCACGGGGCCCCCUGUCCAUCCCUGACUCCUGGAAACAGCUCCACUCCAACCUCCCAGCUGAACAGAAAGAGCCUUAGCCCCCUCAGCAUUCUGCCCCAGCCCUCCUGUCCCCAUCUCCAAGGAGCUCCCAUUCCACUUCCUCCCCUUCUACCCCAGGUACCCACUUCUCCUGCCUCUGCCUUACCUGUUCUCCUAUGGGGCCCUACCUUCUGUCCAGUGUCCCCACCUCUUCAUACUGCCCCAAGACAUUACCUACCCCACCAUGGCUGCACCCAGCUUGCUGAUGACAGCCGAUGAGCCUGGGCACCACAGUGUUCCAGGGCAGACCCUGCUUUGCAACCCUGGGCCCUUCCAAGCCUCUGGCCAUGCCAUGCCCUCCCGGACCCAGGAUCCAUCCUUGGGAAUGGAGUGGGCUGGCAUGACAGCUCCAGGGAAGCGGGCCUCAAUGGGAUCCCGGGCAGGCACCUCGCCCUCCCCUACCCUCUGAAGAAAGAAAACGGCAAAAUCCUGUAUGAGUGCAACAUGUGCAGCAAGAGCUUUGGACAGUUCUCCAACCUUAAGGUCCACCUGCGCGUGCACAGUGGGGAGCGGCCGUUCCAGUGUGCCCUGUGCCAGAAGAGCUUCACCCAGUUCGCCCACCUUCAGAAGCACCACUUGGUGCACACUGGGGAGCGGCCCCACAAGUGCCGGACGUGCCAGAAGUGCUUCAGCAGUUCCAGCAACCUCAAGACUCACCUGUGCCUGCACGUCCAGUGCAGUGUCUGCCCAAAUCACUUCACCCAGCUUGUCCAUUGGAAGCUGCACCAACAGCUCCACACUCCACAACCCGGCGGCCUGGCUCACCCCCACCUGCCCCUGGGCUCUCUUCCCUGCCUUGCCCAAUGGCACCAGCGAGCAUUGGAUCUUGUUGCGGAGCCCUCAGAGAAACAGAUGGGUUGGGACAUGGACAGGGUCAAGGUGUCCUUGGUAUCCCAGGGAAAGCCAGGGCAGCCAGCCUGAGCCAACACUGCUCAGAGGAGAGGGCAAGGGCAGAGCAAUUAAAGGAUUUUCAAAAUGAUGAGUUGAGGCUUCCUGUGCUUCCACAGUGAAGGGGUCACCGUGUAAUUGCCAGACCUCACACUUUACCUGAGAGCAGGUCAGAGGAC
Molecule: long non-coding RNA, 2175 nt
Filed under: Heterocephalus glaber (naked mole-rat)
Lineage: Eukaryota; Metazoa; Chordata; Mammalia; Rodentia; Bathyergidae
Description: lncRNA (ENSHGLG00100042095.1)
Source: RNAcentral